Molecule: ribosomal RNA, 253 nt
Filed under: uncultured bacterium
Lineage: Bacteria
Description: partial 16S ribosomal RNA
Rfam family: Bacterial small subunit ribosomal RNA
Source: RNAcentral
UACGUAGGGUGCAAGCGUUGUCCGGAAUUAUUGGGCGUAAAGAGCUCGUAGGCGGUCUGUCGCGUCGGCUGUGAAAACCCGGGGCUCAACCCCGGGCCUGCAGUCGAUACGGGCAGACUAGAGUGUGGUAGGGGAGACUGGAAUUCCUGGUGUAGCGGUGAAAUGCGCAGAUAUCAGGAGGAACACCGGUGGCGAAGGCGGAUCUCUGGGCCAUUACUGACGCUGAGGAGCGAAAGCGUGGGGAGCGAACAGG